RNAcentral lists this non-coding RNA (208 nucleotides) under Blastocatellia bacterium. RNAcentral's name for it is "6S RNA". It matches the Rfam family "6S / SsrS RNA". From Rfam's summary of the family: E. coli 6S RNA was the first non coding RNA to be sequenced, but its function was unknown until recently. The record is from RNAcentral. Lineage: Bacteria; Pseudomonadati; Acidobacteriota; Blastocatellia.
CAGUCACUGCGUGGUUCGACACCGGACGCAUACACAAUUGAGCCAACAUAUGAAUACCGGGAGGUUAAUGCCGGCCUCGGUGCGAGUCUCCAGGCGAGAACUUGCCAUAGUCGACGGCUCUGAUGUCACGAUUUAAUCGGGACAGAAAACCACCCACCUGUAACAAUCAGGUUCAAUUCAUACGUUCGAACGGCUUCGCGGUCUACUU